AAUUUUGGACAAGGGGGGAAACCCUGAUGCAGCCAUCACUCGUGUGUGAUGAAGGCAUUCGGGUUGUAAUGCACUUUUGACAGGUAAAAAAUGACAGGAGCUAAUAACUUCUGUAGAUGACGGUCCCUGUUUUAGAAGCACCGGCUAACUAGCGGCUAGCAGCCGCGGGAAUACGUAGGGUGCAAGCGUUAAUCGGAAUUACUGGGCGUAAUAGGUACGCAGGCGGCUAGGAAAGAAAGAUGUGAAAUCCCAGGGCUCAACCUUGGAACUGCAUUUUUAACUACCUGGCUAGAGUAUGUCAGAGGGGGGUAGAAUUCCACGUGUAGCAGUGAAAUGCGUAGAGAUGUGGAGGAAUACCGAUGGCGAAGGCAGCCCCCUGGGAUAAUACUGACGCUCAGGUACGAAAGCGUGGGGAGCAAACAG
Molecule: ribosomal RNA, 423 nt
Filed under: uncultured bacterium
Lineage: Bacteria
Description: partial 16S ribosomal RNA
Rfam family: Bacterial small subunit ribosomal RNA
Source: RNAcentral